GGGGAGAGCGCUGGAUCUUGGGCUGUGUCCCCCGGCGCCCUGGGCUCUCAGGCCUGUGCUGCUGGAAUUGGGCUCCCAGCCAUGCAGCCCCUU
Molecule: microRNA precursor, 93 nt
Filed under: Canis lupus familiaris (dog)
Lineage: Eukaryota; Metazoa; Chordata; Mammalia; Carnivora; Canidae
Also listed under: 1 other name
Description: mir-8799 microRNA precursor family
Rfam family: mir-8799 microRNA precursor family
Source: Rfam by way of RNAcentral